This 376-nucleotide ribosomal RNA is filed under the name uncultured Gammaproteobacteria bacterium. RNAcentral's name for it is "bacterial SSU rRNA". It matches the Rfam family "Bacterial small subunit ribosomal RNA", at positions 521 to 896 of the family's 1533-position model. Lineage: Bacteria; Pseudomonadati; Pseudomonadota; Gammaproteobacteria. The record is from RNAcentral.
UGAUACGGAGGGUGCAAGCGUUAAUCGGAAUUACUGGGCGUAAAGCGCGCGUAGGCGGUUUGUUAAGUCGGAUGUGAAAGCCCUGGGCUCAACCUGGGAACUGCUUCCGAUACUGGCAGGCUAGAGUACGGUAGAGGGGGGUAGAAUUCCACGUGUAGCGGUGAAAUGCGUAGAGAUGUGGAGGAAUACCAGUGGCGAAGGCGGCCCCCUGGACUGAUACUGACGCUAAGGUGCGAAAGCGUGGGGAGCAAACAGGAUUAGAUACCCUGGUAGUCCACGCUGUAAACGAUGUCAACUAGCCGUUGGAGGGGUAAUCCUUUUGGUGGCGUAGCUAACGCGCUAAGUUGACCGCCUGGGGAGUACGGUCGCAAGAUUA